UACGUAGGGUCCGAGCGUUGUCCGGAUUUAUUGGGCGUAAAGAGCUCGUAGGCGGCUUGUUGCGUCGUCCGUGAAAUCCCAUGGCUCAACUGUGGGCUUGCGGUCGAUACGGGCAGGCUGGAGUUCGGUAGGGGAGACUGGAAUUCCUGGUGUAGCGGUGAAAUGCGCAGAUAUCAGGAGGAACACCGGUGGCGAAGGCGGGUCUCUGGGCCGAUACUGACGCUGAGGAGCGAAAGCGUGGGGAGCGAACAGG
Molecule: ribosomal RNA, 253 nt
Filed under: uncultured bacterium
Lineage: Bacteria
Description: partial 16S ribosomal RNA
Rfam family: Bacterial small subunit ribosomal RNA
Source: RNAcentral